Molecule: ribosomal RNA, 400 nt
Filed under: Lacticaseibacillus rhamnosus
Lineage: Bacteria; Bacillati; Bacillota; Bacilli; Lactobacillales; Lactobacillaceae
Description: bacterial SSU rRNA
Rfam family: Bacterial small subunit ribosomal RNA
Source: RNAcentral
UUUAUAUGAGAGUUUGAUCCUGGCUCAGGAUGAACGCUGGCGGCGUGCCUAAUACAUGCAAGUCGAACGAGUUCUGAUUAUUGAAAGGUGCUUGCAUCUUGAUUUAAUUUUGAACGAGUGGCGGACGGGUGAGUAACACGUGGGUAACCUGCCCUUAAGUGGGGGAUAACAUUUGGAAACAGAUGCUAAUACCGCAUAAAUCCAAGAACCGCAUGGUUCUUGGCUGAAAGAUGGCGUAAGCUAUCGCUUUUGGAUGGACCCGCGGCGUAUUAGCUAGUUGGUGAGGUAACGGCUCACCAAGGCAAUGAUACGUAGCCGAACUGAGAGGUUGAUCGGCCACAUUGGGACUGAGACACGGCCCAAACUCCUACGGGAGGCAGCAGUAGGGAAUCUUCCACAA